This 245-nucleotide unclassified non-coding RNA is filed under the name uncultured Boletus. RNAcentral's name for it is "sequence contains ITS1". The record is from RNAcentral. Lineage: Eukaryota; Fungi; Basidiomycota; Agaricomycetes; Boletales; Boletaceae.
UCGAAUUCCGAGUCUGGAGUGGGGAAGACGCCGAGUGGAGACUGUCGCUGGCCUCAAGGGGCAUGUCGCACGUCUUCCCUUUUCGUCGACCUUUCUCCUUCUCUCUCACACACACACCUGUGCACCCGUUGUAGGUCCUCGAAAGAGGAUCUAUGUUUUUUUCAUAUCACACCCCGUCGUAUGUCCAUAGAAUGUAUUGAAAACGUCGACCUGUCUCGGCAGGCCUGGCGGUUCAUAAAUCCAUA